CCCUGGUCCUUGGGUGGUGUUUUCAAAUAUGUUACACGGCAUGUGGAAUAUGAUAUUGAACCAUGAGCACAAAACUUUUACAAAUGAGUAAUGAACACAAAAUCUCGCAAUUUUUGCUCAUUUACAGUGUUGAAUCACUCGAAUGUCGCAUCUUAGAUUUGUUAUAGAUAAUUCACACAAAGAAUUAACAUGAAUUGCACAUGCUAUUCGAACAAUAUUCUCUCAUUGCGGAACGAAAGUAAACUUUGUUCAUAAUCCAUACUUUGAACGUUGCUCAUGUACUGCAGCAUAAUAUAUAGACUAAUCUAAUCAAAGCAAAGUACAUAUGCACCACAAUGUACAAUAUAUAAGAAAGGGUUUAACAUGAACUUACCUUACGAAUUUCUGGUGAUCUUCUAGUCCACAGCAGCUGUGUAUGAAUGCUUGACAACGCCUCACAAUCGUUCCAAGUAUAGGCCUUUAUAU
Paramuricea clavata is the source of this 465-nucleotide non-coding RNA. The record is from the annotation of a GenBank genome assembly. Lineage: Eukaryota; Metazoa; Cnidaria; Anthozoa; Malacalcyonacea; Plexauridae.